RNAcentral lists this transfer RNA (73 nucleotides) under Herbaspirillum sp. RNAcentral's name for it is "tRNA-Tyr". It matches the Rfam family "tRNA". Rfam says of the family: Transfer RNA (tRNA) molecules are approximately 80 nucleotides in length. Their secondary structure includes four short double-helical elements and three loops (D, anti-codon, and T loops). The record is from RNAcentral. Lineage: Bacteria; Pseudomonadati; Pseudomonadota; Betaproteobacteria; Burkholderiales; Oxalobacteraceae.
CCAUCGAUAGCUCAGUUGGUAGAGCGGAGGACUGUAGAUCCUUAGGUCGCUGGUUCGAAUCCGGCUCGAUGGA